This 258-nucleotide ribosomal RNA is filed under the name Oxalobacteraceae bacterium ISO572_OTU203. RNAcentral's name for it is "partial 16S ribosomal RNA". It matches the Rfam family "Bacterial small subunit ribosomal RNA", at positions 30 to 289 of the family's 1533-position model. The record is from RNAcentral. Lineage: Bacteria; Pseudomonadati; Pseudomonadota; Betaproteobacteria; Burkholderiales; Oxalobacteraceae.
UUGAACGCUGGCGGCAUGCCUUACACAUGCAAGUCGAACGGUAACAGGGAGCUUGCUCCGCUGACGAGUGGCGAACGGGUGAGUAAUAUAUCGGAACGUGCCCUAGAGUGGGGGAUAACUAGUCGAAAGAUUAGCUAAUACCGCAUACGAUCUAAGGAUGAAAGUGGGGGAUCGCAAGACCUCAUGCUCGUGGAGCGGCCGAUAUCUGAUUAGCUAGUUGGUAGGGUAAAAGCCUACCAAGGCAUCGAUCAGUAGCUG